AGUGAAACUCGGAGAGACCGGCGGGGCCAAGUACGACGGAAUCACAGGAUCGAACGCAGCCACGCGAGCAUCGUUAAAUAAGGAAGUUCAUUGACGAGACGGUUAACGACGUAUUAUAGCGGCUGUAACAGACGGUAGAGCGCACUUUCGUGCACGACACAAGGCCCGAGGGCUGCAACACCGUGACACACGCUAUGGGAAAAAAGAGUUGCAACAUCCUGAGAAUCGAGCGAGUUGCGCUUUUUACGAGCUGACUACCAACGUGUAUCGGUCAGUUUGCUACGCACUUCGACUACGUUCGACCAUGUCCUGCCUGACGAAACACAGCGUUUCGUGUCAAAUUAUCUUCCCAGUUCCACGUUUGUCCGCAUCUAUCGGCCACGAUCUUGACGAACGAAGUCGACCAGAGUUUCUUCCGCCAGGAACAAUGGUCUUCGUGUAUUUGUCACGAGUCCUUCUGGCAUUCGUAAGAAUAACAGAGUGGAAGAUUUCUGGGACCAUUUAACCGAUUCAGAACGACUAGAAAAAACACACACGGAAAGAAGCUUCAAGGCUUUGCCAACACCCCUUGGGGUAUGGGUCAAUCCUGGUACACAGCCGAGAGUUUUGUCCAACUAUUCCAAGUGGCGCAACUUCAUUUGCGUCCGGACCACAUUUUCCGGAAACGCUAUACGCGGUGACUGCUAAGUUUCCUCAAGUAUUUCCACAGAAGGUUACAUAACGUCUCGACGUGCCCUGUCUCUAUGCGGCUGUAAUACACGAAGGCGAGAAGGUAUUCCACUUGCAAAUUUUGUAGGAAAAUUUAACGAUAUGCCAUCAAGGACGAAGGCAUUUUCCUGUUGUUUUGCUACUGAAAGCGGCCAACGAGCCGAUAAUUGUGGUAUCGGAGAUUUAAUUGAACAAGCGGGAAUUGCAGAGUUUGAGGGAAAACGGUGAACAGUGGGGAAAUUAAUCGUUCGGAAAUGUGAACGUUCGAGCGUCCAAUUUUUAUACAUUCGAGAAUUGAUAUUUUUAUGAAAUUAACGUUUGAAGAAGGAUCGAAGCUGUCGAUAUUUAAUUAUCCCCUGAAUAUCGUUCUUCGAUUAUUUGCAACGAUGCGGUAAAAAAUGUCAUCCGUAUCGAUGAGGAAAACAUUUAAAAAAUGCUUCCUCUCUAUAUUGAAUUUAAAGUAUUGUCAAGUAUAGAACUAUAUGCACAAUAUUCGUACGGAAUAUUUUAGUAACGCGUAUCAUUCGUUAUCCAUUCGACAGAGAUAAAUAUUGAUUAAUAAUUGCUCGUAUGGCAUUGGUAAACGUCUGAAAAAUUGUGCGCAACGAUAAAGCGAACACCCCGUGCAUUUUUUUUAUUUGCCAUUAUUUAUACUUUCUAUAUAGACGUAGAACAAUCGAAGAGGAAAAAUCGUGCGAAAAAACGAUUUCAAUUAUAAUCGAGUAAGCACAUUCUGCCAGCUAAUUAAAGUUAGUAGCUGUAAUUGCGCAGCGCUCUGUAUAUAUUAUUAUACCCCGCCAUUAUCUAGUAUUUGUAUGAGAAUAAUUAGCGGAAUGAUUGUGGUUAACGACUAAUUAACGAAGUUAGUAUACGGGCAAUCUUAAUGUACACCAUUGUAGCACGCCUUCAAAUGGUUCAUUUUCAACGUUAACGUUAAGUUAGUAAAUGGCGAACUGCAAUUUUCCUUUUAUAUAGCUUGAUUCGUUUUAAUUCGUUCCACUAUUCCAUGUAACUGUUCUUGGAUAAUGAACGACGCAAUCGAUCUGUCAUUUAAAUUUAAGCGCAUGUCGAUGAAGAAUACGUUACGCAAGAUGAUGUCACGACGUUGACUCACAGGUUGAUUUAAUUUAAUGGGAAAAGAAGCGUAACGUAGGUUAGUGUCAAACGAACAAGACGAAUAAAAAAUAUCUGGAAAGAGGUUACACAACGUACGUAAUAGAAAUAACACUUAAAUAUUCUUUUCUUUAGUCAGACUAUUAUAGAUUAGGUUACGUAAAAUGUUCCUUAACCUACGCUUACAUGACAAAUAGAUUUUCGUCGGUAUCGAUCGUCGAUAGACGAUAAUUCUAGAUUCAAUUUGUUGGUAAUUACACAGAAGUAAUUAACUGUUCCGAACGUUUACGACAGACUUAACCUCUUAAUGCUUUGUACGAUAUGUACAUAUGUUACAUACUAAGUGUAUACAUUUUGAAGGAGAUUUAUAAUCAUGAAUAUCUUAAUCGAUCUAUGUUUAUUACAUUAUAUUCAAAUAAUAUUAUUCAUUGAUUCCAAAUGUUAUCACUAUAAUCAUAACAAUCGCGAUUCACUACAGUGUUAAUGAAAUUUCAAAAUAUUUUAUGCAACACAUACAAUAUAUAUGUGCAUAUACGCAAAAGUGUUUCUAUAGUAUGCAUUCAAAUGAGCCAGUGUAUGAUUCACUAUUAUUAUUAUAUUAUACAACUACAUAAUCUUUUGUUAAUAAUUCGAGCAUUAAAGUGUUAAACGUACAUAAAACGCAGCCAGAUAAAGUUACAACAUUGUAAGAUAUUGCAAGUCUUAUAAACUACCGUUAGUCACGAUACAUCAUAUAAAAUAAGGUUAUGUACGAACCAAUUUAGCGAAGAUCACUUCGUAAAUCCUUUUGUUCGAAUGAAACACACCCGUAAAAGCAUCCCAUUGCGAAAGGAUCGGUCGUUCACGGAAGAAAAUGUUAAUUAAAAUGCUUUACGUUCCGAUCGCGUUUAAUCGCCGUUAAGGUCAACGGUUUCCGAUCGUCGAUACACACUACUUCAGACGCGUGUACUUAUUUAUGUACUUGUAACAAAUAUAACGUAAUUCGAGCGCUUAAGAUAAGGACAGCGAAUCGAAUUAAAACGGGAAACGUAUCCGGUUCUACGGCUAACGGCUAAUUACUUGACAAUAAAUUCAAACUACGAUUGAACGUCGCGUCGAAUCGAAUGGUUGCAUGAAACGAGAGAUCGAUUGUAUGUGCAAAAGAUGCCAACGACCGGCGGCCGGCGACUCUUUCUAAGUGGCGACUCCUUUCAACCGUUUCUUUCUCAAAUUAUUAUCGACCAAGUAAUUCGCGUAAACAAUAUCGUAACGUCUUCUCCGAAUUUACUGCUAUCGUUGCGUCAAAGAAAUCAACACGGAUUGUUUUCAUCGUAAAUGCAAGUGUGAACUUUCUACGACUUUCCACGGCAUGUAUUCGCAAAGGAAAUUAAGGGAGCGGACAUCGACGUUAAAAAACAGAUAAGAAGAAGAAGAAAUCGUUUUCGCAUUCAAGCCAAUUGCGGUUUGUCGCAACAGAUUGCCUCUAUCGAGCUUUCGGAUGCCUAGAAGGAAUGAAACUACCGACUAAAAUGUGCCUACCAAAAAAUCCUGCUGCCAAAGAUCGUAGGACGAUUGUUGCCAAUAUCCGACUAAUGGACGUGCGAUUAAAAUCUGAGAAGAAAGAGGACAAGAAAGUUUAACCAGUCGUGCGUUCAACCGAAUUCCAAUUUCUGCGAAAAAGCUUCGCCAUUGCCGGCGAACGUAGCGGUUUAACGAUACAGGAUAUACUUUUUCUCGGAACGUUUCAGCGUAAUCGAAGAAACCGAUGCCAGAGGCGAUCAAUGCGAACUGCUCGCACCCGUACAUAUGCAUCCCACCUCCCCCGUGUAUAUCCGUAGAAUGGUGCCGCCAGGUUUCCGAGGUUUCCAUAACGAGAAUCUACCGGACCCUUCGGUGCCUUCAGACGAGGAUCACAAUUUUCCCCAUAACAUCACGUGCCGUUCAAGCCGUAUCCAUGGGACCGCGACGAGAUAAGAACCUGCAGCGAGCGAGCCUCGGCAUUCGACGUAUUGAAUGGGCCUGUCGAUCGCCAGCAGGGGGUCGGAGAAAAAUAUCCUCCUCGCUGGACCAACGAAAUUUAUCAGAUUAAAUUAGCGCGCGCAAAUGUCGCGUGCCAGCUCGUGUCACCUCCCCACCACUUUACUAAACGUAUCUGCGACAUGGGGUGCCAUUGUUCUAUCGAAAAUCGUCGUGUUUGGAUGUGUAACCUUGCUCGAUGCGCUUCGCUGUAUCUAUUACCGUGUGUCACGUACUUCCAUUGCUCUUUCAUUGUUGGCUGACGCGUGGAUAACAUCGAAAGAAUAACAAUACCGUAUGAUGUCGCGGCCGAUUGACAACCGAUACGACGUUCUGCUAUUUCUGUUUCAGAUUCCAUCGCUGACUGGAUACUCGAGCCUCAGCAUGUUCCAGGCGAAAAAUCGUCUACGAGAAAGAAAGAAGAGGAAGGGAGACACGAAGAAUCGAGGAGCAGCAGAAAAGAACGGAGCCCGCGUCGCCUGGACAAAGAAUAAGGGGAUUAGUUUUAAUUGGAACUAACGCGGCUAGAUUCUUGUAAAAAUCGUGGAUAAUAUUUGCAUUUAUCCACGGUAACGAUACCCGUUAGAAACUCGCUGCAAUUUCUACAAUGAUUUAAACAAUGGCAGUUACUUUUAAUUUCACGCGCA
Bombus huntii is the source of this 4463-nucleotide long non-coding RNA. RefSeq lists it as uncharacterized. The transcript is spliced from 8 exons. The record is from RefSeq and is a predicted model, not a curated record. NCBI's taxonomy places the organism in Eukaryota, Metazoa, Arthropoda, Insecta, Hymenoptera, Apidae.